RNAcentral lists this long non-coding RNA (584 nucleotides) under Lupinus angustifolius (narrow-leaved blue lupine). Its description in RNAcentral is "long non-coding RNA (LANG_LNC001174)". Lineage: Eukaryota; Viridiplantae; Streptophyta; Magnoliopsida; Fabales; Fabaceae. The record is from RNAcentral.
GAAGUGAAGUCUAUAUAUCAUCAAGUCUUGUUUGCAACCAACAACAUAAAUACAACACAACACAGUGGUUUAAAGUUUAAACUCAAUCACGCUACCACCUCUGUAACCCUUAGCUAUUGAAGUAUCUACUAUCUGUGAAAAAAAUGGCACACAACAUUAGCAAGAGCACAACAAUGAUCUUGUUGAUGGUCUUAGUGGUGGGGCUUAUGUUUGCUGCUGAAGUCAUAGCACAGGAUGUGACAGCACCAGCACCAGCACCAGCCCCCGAAAAGGACACCGGAGCUGGGUCUUUGGUAACUUACUCUGGUGUAUUUGUUUGCUUCUCACUGUUCCUCUCUUUCCUUUCCCUUCUCCGCCAUUAAAUUUUUCUACUGGAUAAAACAUAUCUACUGUAUUUUUCUUCUAUUCAUGCAAUCAGAAUCAUUGUUAUUGUAUCAUCUUAUUCUUCUACCCUAUUUAUUGGUUAUGAUGUGACUCAUUAAAUGAAUUUAUUUAUGCAACAUGCUAUAUAUGUAUAUAAUUUGAGUCUUAAUUUUUUAAUAUUUCUUAUAUGUAGCUUAAUUCUUAACAAUACUAUUUGCAAU